UCUGCCUACGGGACGCAGCAGUGAGGAAUAUUGGUCAAUGGCCGCAGGGCUGAACCAGCCAAGUCGCGUGAGGGAUGACAGUCCUAUGGAUUGUAAACCUCUUUUGUCAGGGAGCAAAGGGCGCCACGUGUGGCGUUUUGCGAGUACCUGAAGAAAAAGCAUCGGCUAACUCCGUGCCAGCAGCCGCGGUAAUACGGAGGAUGCGAGCGUUAUCCGGAUUUAUUGGGUUUAAAGGGUGCGCAGGCGGAAUGUCAAGCCAGCGGUAAAAUUUCGGGGCUCAACCCCGGCGAGCCGUUGAAACUGGC
RNAcentral lists this ribosomal RNA (305 nucleotides) under uncultured bacterium. Its description in RNAcentral is "bacterial SSU rRNA". It matches the Rfam family "Bacterial small subunit ribosomal RNA", at positions 334 to 637 of the family's 1533-position model. The record is from RNAcentral.